Non-coding RNA from Schizosaccharomyces pombe (fission yeast), 1818 nucleotides. The record is from the annotation of a GenBank genome assembly. Lineage: Eukaryota; Fungi; Ascomycota; Schizosaccharomycetes; Schizosaccharomycetales; Schizosaccharomycetaceae.
UGCAAGAUGAAAAAAGGUUGGUGAUUGAAAGGAAAGCGAGACAAUGUAAUGCAAGCUGUAGAAAUGCGGAUUUUUUUUGGAAAUGUCUUCCAUGAUGUGUUAUUCUGCUUUCAUUUCUGUAACAUGAUUUUGCGCGGAAAGGUCUCAAACAAAAGUGCGACUGCGCGCAUGCACGUAUGCGCUUAAUCCGCUUAGUACCAAUUAUAGAUGGAGGAUUGAUAUUUUGGCAGUUAGGAUUAAAACCUGUUCUUCUUCAAUCCCUCUUUAAAGCAGGGAUACCCUCCUUGCAGCCCAACUAUUCCUCCGAUUCGCACUACUAAUUUGUUCACAGGCUAAUGUUUACAGAUCUGUUGGAAUAGGGAUGAAUGCGCCCAUUCAUAGUGUUGAAAAUAGGAUAUUCGAGUUGCUUUGUUUAGACACCCCAUCAUUCAAUAUGCUCACAGCUGUGUUGGUAAGGAAUGCAUAUGUAUUAUUGAUGCAUAAGGAGUUACCAAUUUGUUAAUAGAUAAGUAGGUCAUAACUGCUAUUCUUUUCCAAAAUCAUAAUUUCUGUCGCUUUUCAUUAGUACCUGCUGAAUAAAAUUGGUAAUGGAUGGGUCAUCAGAGAAACCGUUUUCUGUACCGGAUUUUACACUCCCACGCUCUCAUGCACAGCGUUCUAAUAAAUUUCCGUAUAUCUUAAAAGAAUACAUUAUACUCUAUGUUAAGAUCAUAUUUCCAAAUUCGAUUACUUGACAGUUGACUAAAAGAGUGUAUAGCGUGUACACUACCACAAAGAAAAGUUCCAUUUUAGAGUUGAACCCCCGAAAUUCAUUCGAAAAGCAAAACGAUUUCCUUUACUAUGUUUUUUCUAAAUUUUCCAUAUCGUAACGAAAAUUUUGGUAGGGAGAAUAACUCACUCAUCACAAGUUGAUCAUUUUAUUGCAUACAUGGUAAAACCCAUUUUUAGAGAAAACGCAUCGGCUGAUACUAAUUUGCAAUAAAAAAUAUAUUAUCAUCCCUGGCAACUGUUUAUUAGUUUUAGGUUAGCAUGGGAAGAACAGUGGUGUGGAAAACGGUUAAAUUAGGAAUUGCUCGAUAAUUCAAGCACAUGGAAAACUUACACCAACUUCUUCUUUAACAACUUGAAAUUAACGUCUCCAUCAUUGUCGUAUUCAUAAUAGUGCAAUAUUACUGUAUAAUCUAACAACUUACACAAUACAAUAUUAGUUAUUCUUAGCUACAACUUACUUGAAAACAUUAAUCACAUGACUUUUCUUAUAAGCUAAAGAUUCAUUAUAUUUCGAAAUGAAAUUACGAGAUGUUAAAGAAUCACGAAUUCAAAAAAAUAGACGACCAUAACAGUGUCAGGUUUCUUAGAUACUCUGCUUUACUAACAUAGCGGGCAGAAAUAUAAAAGAUUCUUGAGAUGCAGUUAUGCUCGUAAAAAAUAAAUAACCGAUAACCGCUGUGAACGAGAACAAAAAAAGCACAUGAAAAAGCCUUGAGCUCAGUUUAGCUAAUCGAUAAUUCGAAUGAACAUAGAGAAGUUUAUAUUAUUCAGCGGUCACCACGAUCAUACAAACAACAAACCAUCAGAUAUAUUUCAUCAAACCACAAGUUAAAUUUUCAUCGCAUACCAAUCACCUAAGCGACCAUAUAAAGCGCAAUAAGAAUUGACAACGUACUCAAUACGAAAGAGCUUUUUGCGGUAGAAAUGGCAGAAGAAGGAGUGAAUGAAGAGCUGCUUGACGAUUGCCUUGAACUGACACUGCUAGUAGUAGUAGAAGUAGACGAAGCAGGAGUAUAGCUCGAGCUCGAGCUGCUACCGCUAGAAGUG